Long non-coding RNA from Mauremys reevesii (Reeves's turtle), 1140 nucleotides. RefSeq lists it as uncharacterized. The transcript has 7 exons. NCBI's taxonomy places the organism in Eukaryota, Metazoa, Chordata, Testudines, Geoemydidae. The record is from RefSeq and is a predicted model, not a curated record.
UGCGCAUGUGCCAUUUGGACAGUGAUGGGGAGGGGGCUUGAGCUUCGGUUGCUGAGAUUCCCAGCCUCGUUCUCGCUUCCUUGCGCUGUCGGGCGGUGCCUGCGCCCUUCCCAACUGCUGCGGUGUCGUUCCGCACGCGCCAUGGGUGGGAACGGCGGGAUUGUACGAGGGUCGUCCAGGCAGCCUGAAACCGCCCGUUUCCCGCCUCGCGAGUGCGCGCGACGCCCGCCUGGCGCUUUGGUAUCCCCAGUGAGAGAAGUCAGAAUGACAGCCACCACCUUUAUAAAAUGCUUCAAGACCUAUUCAGUGUGAAGACAGGCUGUAGCUCAUUUGGAAACCUCUUCAUACAGCUCAGGAGAAGAGAGAAUACCUGCAAGGAUACCAUUGGAAACUCAGAAGAGCAAUGAUGUCCAGCUAUCCAGAAAUAACUUAGAAAUACUGACCUUAUAGACGAUUUACAACGGCAGCACAAUGAACCUGCAGGCUGACGUGAUAGCUACUAGAAAGGGUGUCUUAAUGGAAAAGUGAAGCAAGGAGCAAGUCAUCAUAGGUUCAAAUGGAGACACAGGCACAAGGCAUUGACCAUGACACCAGUGGUUGAAACCUCUUCCAUUUCUGGAGGAGCUAUGCUUGGAGAAUGGAUGACCCCUAGGUUGGGAUGAAGCACACAACACGUAUCCUGGGAGAGGAGAGGAGAUGAGGGAGAGUCAGAAGUUGGGAGUGCCAGUUGGACACACAGGUGAAGCAGGUCACCAGGCCUGUUGGCAGUGGGAAAGGUGGUCUCCAAAAACGAAGAAGUGAACAUAAGGUUGCAGCUUGCAAACUACAGCCAAGGGAGAAUUUGAGCCUUCAAUCAACCCAUCAAAAUUGCUGUUUUGAUGAUGACUGGUUCCUGAGAAGAGCAUCUGACCAUCAAACUGGAGGUCCUCAACAGUAUUCUGAACCUCCCUUGGGAAUCCCAAAAACUGCAGCCGUGACACCCUGCGCAUGACAAGUGCUCUGGAGAUGAAUCUAGCAGCAGCAUCUAGGGACGCUUGGAGAGAGGUUUUGGCUAAUAACUGACCGUCCUUAAUAAUGGCCUGGAUGUGUUCUCUAUGCUCCUUGGGAAGAUGUUCAAUAAAGGAUGUGAACUUGUUGCAA